Molecule: long non-coding RNA, 628 nt
Filed under: Marmota monax (woodchuck)
Lineage: Eukaryota; Metazoa; Chordata; Mammalia; Rodentia; Sciuridae
Source: RNAcentral
CAGCACAAUGCCCAUGAAACCUUGCGCUUGUCCCCAUUUUACAGAAUGAGGAAGUGAGGCCCAGGAAGGCUGAGGAACCUGCUCAAGGUCACCUUGCUGGGAAGUGGUAAAGCCCCGUUGAGUGCUCUGGAGCCAGCCAGGGGCUCCGUGGGUGGGCCCUUUACCAGGUCACUGUCAGCAUCAAGAAGCUAUGGGGGGGACUCCAGGACACCACCGGGAGGGUCCAACUGUGUGUGCCCCUCCUGGCACCUCAGUCCCUUUACUGGGCAGACCCUGGGAAGGGACAGCAGCUGGGAAGACCUGGAAGGAUUGAAACUGUCCUCCACACGGAGAUGACCUGGAACCCAAGCCAGCCCAGGUCACCAGAGAGCUAUCCUCAGCCACCCAAAUCCCCCUCAUCCAGACUCCCGACAGGCUCCUUCCCCACAUCCACAGGUCACUCUCCUGGGCUUGGUACUUGUGCAGUUAACGGUCCUGGAACUCAAGAGAUGUGAGCAGACGCUAAAUCGGGCCAGUCCCAAGGGGUUGACCAGCCAGGCGCGGUGACACAUGCUGUGAUCCCAGCGACUCGGGAGGCUGAGGCAGGAGGGUUGUGAGUUCAAACCCAGCCCCAGCAACUUACUGAGGC